GUGAGGAAUUUUGCGCAAUGGCCGCAAGGCUGACGCAGCAACGCCGCGUGGGUGACGAAGGCCUUCGGGUCGUAAAGCCCUGUCAGGUGGGAAGAAAGGCUUGGAGAAGCAACGCUUUGAGUUUGACGGUACCACCAGAGGAAGCACCGGCUAACUCCGUGCCAGCAGCCGCGGUAAUACGGAGGGUGCGAGCGUUAUUCGGAAUUACUGGGCGUAAAGCGCGUGUAGGCGGGGAUGCAAGUCUGAUGUGAAAGCCCUGGGCUUAACCUGGGAAGUGCAUUGGAAACUGCAUUUCUUGAGUACUGGAGAGGAAGGGGGAAUUCCCGGUGUAGAGGUGAAAUUCGUAGAGAUCGGGAGGAAUACCAGUGGCGUAGGCGCCCUUCUGGACGGUAACUGACGCUGAGACGCGAAAGCGUGGGGAGCAAACAGGAUUAGAAACCCGGGUAGUCC
This 450-nucleotide ribosomal RNA is filed under the name uncultured bacterium. Its description in RNAcentral is "partial 16S ribosomal RNA". It matches the Rfam family "Bacterial small subunit ribosomal RNA", at positions 354 to 796 of the family's 1533-position model. The record is from RNAcentral.